This 549-nucleotide ribosomal RNA is filed under the name uncultured bacterium. RNAcentral describes it as "bacterial SSU rRNA". It matches the Rfam family "Bacterial small subunit ribosomal RNA", at positions 355 to 896 of the family's 1533-position model. The record is from RNAcentral.
UGGGGAAUAUUGGACAAUGGGCGAAAGCCUGAUCCAGCCAUGCCGCGUGUGUGAAGAAGGCCUUUUGGUUGUAAAGCACUUUAAGUGGGGAGGAAAAGCUUAUGGUUAAUACCCAUAAGCCCUGACGUUACCCACAGAAUAAGCACCGGCUAACUCUGUGCCAGCAGCCGCGGUAAUACAGAGGGUGCAAGCGUUAAUCGGAAUUACUGGGCGUAAAGCGCGCGUAGGUGGUUAUUUAAGUCAGAUGUGAAAGCCCCGGGCUUAACCUGGGAACUGCAUCUGAUACUGGAUAACUAGAGUAGGUGAGAGGGGAGUAGAAUUCCAGGUGUAGCGGUGAAAUGUGUAGAGAUCUGGAGGAAUACCGAUGGCGAAGGCAGCUCCCUGGCAUCAUACUGACACUGAGGUGCGAAAGCGUGGGUAGCAAACAGGAUUAGAUACCCUGGUAGUCCACGCCGUAAACGAUGUCUACCAGUCGUUGGGUCUUUUAAAGACUUAGUGACGCAGUUAACGCAAUAAGUAGACCGCCUGGGGAGUACGGCCGCAAGGUUA